GCUGCUUAUGCCCACUGGGCUUUUCUCUUGGCUGUGUGUUCCUGGUCUCCGAGCCAUUCUGUGGCAAGGGGUUGGAGCUCGGUGAUCUUUGAGGUCUCUUCCAACCUAAGCCAUUCUGUGAUUCUGUGAUAUGAUUCUUUUGGCUUCAUGUUAUGGGUAUAGGCAACUACCCGUGAAGCGAUCACUGGUAUUGAAAGCUCUCAGCUCAAACUUUCUUUCUGGUCUACUGCUUGUCCACAUUUCUCAUCAUGACUAUAUGAUCCUUUAGAAAAUAAGGAAGGAACCAGAAGCCCCAGGGUGGCAUUACCUUUACAUUUCAGAUCCAUGGAACCGUUUGAGUUGGAAGGUACCCUUAAAGGCCAUCUGGCCCAACCCCUUGUACUGAACAGGGGCACCUACAGCUCCAUCAGGUGCUCAGAGCCCCGUCCAGCCUGACCUUGGGUGUCUCCAGGGACGAGGCACCACCACCUCUCUGGGCAACCUGUGCCAGUGCCUCACUACCCCUCAGUGUAGAAAACUUCUUCCUUAUAUCCAGUCUUAAUCUCCCCUCUUAUAGUUUGAAACCAUUUCCCUUGUCCUGUCACAUCAGACCCUGCUAAAAAAGCCCAUCCCCUUCUUUCUUACAGCCCCCCUUUAGGUACUGCUUUCCAGGGGUCAGCACCUCUUGCUGGGAAGAUGACACGUGGGGUCCCUUUUUUGCCUCUGCCCUCCCUUUGCCACAAGUGGCAAUCUUACCCUCUUUUUCCAUUCGCUCCAUGUGCUCUCCUCCUUGCAGUGGAGACGGUUUGUUACUGACUGCACGGAGGCAUUGCAAGGCUUAGCUGGGAGUCGGAAAAACUUUUCCAGAUCUUUAGUCAAGUUGUUUCAUGCUGAGUGCAGAACACUGCUGUUUUCUGUUUGCUUGUUAUUUUGUUUUUUUUUUCCAGAGUGAAUUGGAAACAUGGGCUUUCCCCAGAGGAAGCAGGUCACUCUAAAAUAAGAUAAACAACACCUAUACUAAUUGUACUGGAAAAUAGAGCAGCUUCUGCUAGUCUGCU
Molecule: long non-coding RNA, 1037 nt
Filed under: Gallus gallus (chicken)
Lineage: Eukaryota; Metazoa; Chordata; Aves; Galliformes; Phasianidae
Description: lncRNA (ENSGALG00010018886.1)
Source: RNAcentral